Molecule: long non-coding RNA, 2674 nt
Organism: Oncorhynchus gorbuscha (pink salmon)
Lineage: Eukaryota; Metazoa; Chordata; Actinopteri; Salmoniformes; Salmonidae
Exons: 3
Source: RefSeq, a predicted model, not a curated record
CACACAAACACCGAUAAAGCUACCUCUUCACACAUGUACACACACUUAAAGAUAUAUUAUGUUUCUAUGUGCUCUUUUUCACACACACUUACGAUACAAUGUCCCUCUCGUACACCCACAUGUGCAUGCACGCACACACACAUACACACCAGUGUAAGGCCCCAAUUCUCCCAUAAAGGCUCUAGAUUGAGAUAAUCACCCAUACCACAGAAAAUUAACCCGCAAAGCCACAGUCAAUUUGCUUGUUUAAAUAGCCCUAACCAUUACGAGGUGUGUCCAAGCACUGCCAACCCAAAACCAAACAUUGGAUUUGAGCAAGCUGCAGGUUAUACCAGCCAAUAUAUAAAAUAACGCCUUUAAACUGGUGAAACUUUAGCUCUUCUAUAAAUACCUGAACACAUAUAACAUUUAAAACAUGUCUCAUCCAUAAACCUAGAGUUUCUAGACUAGGGACCUUAUAGACACUGUAGGUUUGGGAUAGCGUGUUACAAGGGUGUAGCAAUGGUUUUACUGUGGAGAACUAAGUACUAAUGGUUCCAUGUGGAGAGGGAGUGAGUGACAGAGAGAGUGAGAAGUAUGUGUGUGAAAUGUAUAUGUGCUUGCGUUGGCCACAACAGUGACACUCUAUGGCGCUGUGGUGUGUGUGUGUGUGUGUUUAAAGCUCAGCAAAAGUGAUGACGCACUGACAUCACACCAUAACAGAAAUGUCCUAUCAACUUAUAUAAUCCCAAAAUAGCCUACAACACGGCCCAUCAGAAAUGCACAGCGAUACAAAUCACAUGUGGCUCUGGGCACUGCAGUGCUAAUUUAAUGGGACUCAAAUGCGGGGCAUUAGAAGAAUGCUGAGAGCAUUCCUGAACCACACCUACUACCAAGAUAACACAUGUCUAGCCUGAAGUCAUAUGAUUAACCUAACACAUGAAUAUAGUACUUUACCUCUAACACUGUAAUAGAAACAGGUCUGGUAUGGAGUACCAGUAAAUAAAUAGUAGGGGUAUGCCGUACUGGUAAAACAUGUGGACAUAUCACAAUAAUUAAAACAAAGAUUCUAUUUGUCAUUACCACAUGUCAGUCGCAUGAAAAAUGAGCAAAUAGACUUGAGAACUUGUGGAAUACGCUCCAAAAUGUGGUGUGACUGAGACUCGAGCGGACAGCCGUGUAUGUAUACAUUUUGAUGUUUUGUAAGUGAUGUCUCUUUGCAUUUAUCAAAUGGCAUACAAAUGGGAACAGGAGUUGAGAAAUAGGAUUUAUUUCUUUCCGCAUCUUGAGAGAAUAAAUGUUGACAUUCAAGACUAAAUGAAAUACUAUCAGUUGUUUGAUCGUUUUCACAGCAUUUAAUUUCCUUUAAACUGAUGUCAUUUGGAAAUCUCCCUGGUCCCUAAAUGUCCUCAAAUUUGACCAAUCUCAACUAGAUUGUUGAUGAUUCAUUGAUCAUUCUGUCGAUUUAUGACAUUCUAGCGAGCAAGUGCUUAUUUGGAGUUCUAGACGAGCAUUAAGUAUCUAAUUAUAGACAAGUUGGCUAACAAAUAGCCUUGCAAAUGUCAGAAAUUAUAAGCAGAAACAUAUGUACAUGAGGCUUAAAAAGUUGAAAACUUUUCACCGCUGUUCUAUUUCACUAUAUAUGUCCAUUAAUACGUUAAUUUAUCCUAUGUGUCAUAAAAAAAUAUUUGAAAAAUCCUCACUACACGCAAAUACGAGCGUUUCUGCAUCUCACCGGUAGAAACGGGCCAGCUACAUUUCGUGGUUGUAAGCAAACGACAAUAUCCAGAUUUCAUAGUGAUUUCAGGACGUAGGUACCACUCUGUGGAGGUGUAUCCAGUUGACGUGAGAAAUAUACAAAUGCCUGUGUUUGUAACCAGCACUUUCGGCCAGAGUGUUUCAAAACGGAACUGAAGUCUCAACUGAUGAUUUUUUUUCCAUGUCGUCGACUGUUGAAAAGUGAUGCUUUUCCAUCAAUUUCCUACUUCACUUCGAAGAGGAAGGGAUCCGAUCAGCCAACAUCAACGCUGCAGAAAAAAAAGUCAAGCCGAGAGACUAAUCCUGCUGCUGAUAAUUAAUCCUGCCGACCAUGACCAUGACACCAGCUUUAGUAGUACAGAGCCUUUAGACCCAUUGGAUGACAACUUUAAGCCUGGAAUAAGCUCAAGGCCAACAUCAUCUGACUUUGAACCAAGCCACGACAACCAAGGGAGACUUGCAGUACAUAGAAAUCAUCUGCAAGAGGUCGAAGCAGUGGGUGGUGAAGAACAUCACCACAGCGCCAAAGCCUGCUAAACCAGCUGCCAUUACCCAACACAAGAAGACGCUCAGCACACGAACAUUCUGGAACAUUCAACCAACGAAUCAUCCAUAUACAGUUUGACUGAUGCUGUAGUAUAAUAUAGAAUGCUUAACUGCAUUGUGGUAUAGUUAUUGCUAGCUUUGAACAUAUGUAUAUAAUGGUGUUUUAUACAUUUUUAUAUAUAUAUAUAUAUUUUAUACAAGUGUACUGACAAGUGACUAAAUGAUUCCAGCUGCAUCAGAAACCAAUAGUGCUGACUUUAAAUUAAUUGUGAUAUUCAUGAAAUGUACUUGAAUCUUACUGCUAAAAAAAAUUAUGGAGGUUGUUGGUGUAUCAUUUAAACUUUAAUUUGUUGGCAAGUAAACAUGUUAAAAUAAAACAGAUUUGUCUUCA